This 253-nucleotide ribosomal RNA is filed under the name uncultured bacterium. RNAcentral's name for it is "partial 16S ribosomal RNA". It matches the Rfam family "Bacterial small subunit ribosomal RNA", at positions 524 to 776 of the family's 1533-position model. The record is from RNAcentral.
UACGGAAGGGGCUAGCGUUGUUCGGAAUCAUUGGGCGUAAAGGGCGCGUAGGUGGUUUUGUGUGUCUACCGUGAAAGCACGCGGCUCAACCGCGUUAUGUCGGUAGAAACUGCAAGACUAGAGACUGGGAGGGGCUGGUGGAAUUCCCUGUGUAGCGGUGAAAUGCGUAGAGAUGGGGGAGAACACUCGUGGCGAAGGCGGCCAGCUGGACCAGUUCUGACACUGAGGCGCGAUAGCGUGGGGAGCAAACAGG